This is a long non-coding RNA of Pongo pygmaeus (Bornean orangutan), 6682 nucleotides long. RefSeq lists it as uncharacterized. The transcript is spliced from 8 exons. Lineage: Eukaryota; Metazoa; Chordata; Mammalia; Primates; Hominidae. The record is from RefSeq and is a predicted model, not a curated record.
GACUCGCUCCUACCCCCUACCCCAGUGCUCUCCACCCCAAGGUAGGCGGCUUCCCGCUCCUCGUCUUGGGACCUAACCCCAGGAAGUCAGAUGUCCUUGUCCAGCAGGUCGCCUGGCUAGAGGCCGUGGACGAAGCGGUCCAGGCACAGCCAGCUGCAGGGCGCGGCCUCGGCGGCGCUGCUCGUGGCCCUGGUCAGUGAGCGCACGCACUCCUGGACUAAGCAUUAUUCUCUUGGAUUCACCUUUGCAAAGAAUUGAACAAAAUAGAAGCCAAAGAAGUAGACAGAAAAUAAAUCAAUCCACUCUGCUCAAAGAGCACACAGUCUAAUGAAGAUGAUGAACAUGAAGUCAACUUUGUAGUGUUGAGAACACUGGUUCUCCAGAGCAGCACUUCUCAUCAGAGGCUGCAUGUUAGACUUACCUGGGGAGCAUACAUAAGUUCAGAUGCCCAGGCUGUACUUCAGAAUCUCUGGAGCUCUAUGCAACUCAUUUUCAUCUAGCAUUACCUCUCCAAAACCUGAAUCUCCACAAGAAAGCCAUACAGCAAUUAACCAGUGUUGCAAGGACUGCUUCUGUAAUAGAGGAUCUGUGAUCUUCUCAUUUUGCCUGGUAGUUGUGUUGUUUCCUCCGGGUACUGAUCACACUUGUACAAAUGGACAGAUGUUGAAAAUACAUCCACUGGUGGGAAGACAAACUGAUGCAACUCUCUUGAAAAGCAAUCUGGCAAUAUGAACCAAAAGCCAUGAAAACGCUUGUGCUAUUAUAAUUAAAUGGCUGUAAUGUUGGCUGUAAAUAUGAAAUUUUCUUUCAUACACCAAUAUUUUCAAGAAUGGCAUAUUCACAUGCAGUAUGUGAAAUACUGAUUAGCAACUAUCCACAGACAAGAAUGCCUUUGUGAAAAAUCCCAGAACCCAAGACGUCGUGGGGAGAAGGGACAGGGGAGGCACUGGCCCUGCCCAAUCAGAGACUCUGGCAGCUUGCCUCAUCUAUCCAUGGGUACUACCAGAUGGCCUAUCCCACUCCAGGCUGGGAUGACUCAUGAAGGUCUUUUCCGAAUGAAGUAAACCAGUAAAGGCUGGAAGAGGGAACAGCUUACUCAAAUGCAUAGACACCAAUGCAAGGAUACAAGCAUCACGAAGAAUCAGAGGAACAUGACAUUACCAAAGCAAACAAAUAAAGCUUCAAUAACUGACUGUAAAGAAAUAAGUAUCUAUAAACUGACUGGCAAAGAAUUCAGAAUAACCCUAUUAAAGAAGUUUGUAACUACAAGAAGACACAGAUAGGCAACUAAACAAAAUUAGGAAAACAAUACAUGAACAAAUGAAAUGUUCAUUAAAGAAAGCUGAAGAAUGGAAUUCUUCAACUAAAAAGUUCAAUAAAGAGCUGAUAGACUCAGGCAAGCAGAAGAAAGAAUCAGUGAACUUGAAGACAUCCUUUGAAAUUAUCCAUUCAGAGGAGUAAAAAAUCAGAAAAAUGAAAAACAGUGAAGAAACCCUAUAGGGUUUAUGGGACACUAUAAGCAAAACAAUAUACAUAUAAUGGGAGUCCUAGAAUGGGAGAGAGAAUGGGGAGAAAGUCUAUUUUAAAAAAUAAUGACUGUAAACUUCCCAAAUUUGGGGAGAGAAAUGGACAUUGAGAUUCAUUAGACCCAAAGGUUCUCAAAUAGGUUGAUCUCAAAGAGGUAUACAGCAAGUAAAUUAGCAGAAUUCAAAGACAAAGAGAGAAUUUUUAAAGUAGCAAGAGAAAAGUGACUCAUCACAUAUGAGGGAGCCUCCAUCAGACUUCACUGGAUUACUCAUGAGAAAUCUUGCAGGCCAGGAGAGAGUAGGGACAUAUAUUAAAAAUAUUGAAAGCAGUAAAACUGCCAAGAAUACUAUACCCAGCAAAGUUGUCCUUGAGAAAUGAAGGAAAGAUAAAGACUUUCCCAAACAAAAGCUGUGGGAGUUUAUUACUACUAGACCUGCCUUACAAGAAAUGCUAAAGGGAGUUAAGGGAGUUUUUCAAUCUGAAAUUAAAUGAUUAUAAUUAACAAUGUAAAAGCACAUGAAUGUAUAAAACUCACCGGGAAAGGUAAAUACAGUCAGCCCUCUAUAUCUUUGGGUUUCACAUCUGUCAAGUCAACCAACCACAGAUUUAAAAUAUUAGGAAAAAACACAUCAAUAUUGAAGAUGUACAGACAUUUUUCUUGUCAUUCUUCCCUAUACAAUACAGUGUAACAACUAUUUAUAUAGUAUUUACAUUUUAUUAGGUAUUAUAGGUAAAUUAGAGAUGAUUUAACGUUGGAAAAUGUGCAUAGGUUAUAUGCAAAUAUUAUGCUACUUUUUAUCAGGGAUUUGAACAUCUGCAAAUUUUGGUAUCCACAGAAAGUUCUGGAAUCAAUCCCCUACAAACAGUGAGGGGCAAGUGUAUAUAGUUAAAUUCUGAAUUUUCUAGUAUUGAAAUAGUCUUACGUAAAUCACUUUCAACUCUAGUGUAAAAGUUUAAAGACAAAUAUUAAAAGUAACUUUAACUGCAAUAAUUUGUUAAUGAACACACAAUAUUAAACAGAUGUAAAUUGUAACAUUAAUAACCUUAAAUGUGAGUUGGUGGGGAGAAUUAAAAGUAUAGAGUUUUUUUUAUGUGAUUGAACUUAUGAGCUUAAAAUAAAAUGUUAUAACUAUAAAGUAUUUUUAAAUAAGCCUCAUGAUAGCCACAAAGGAAAUAUCUGUAGUUGAUACAGAAAAAAUUAAGAUAAAGGAAUCCAAGCAUACCACCAUAAAAAGUCAUAAAAUCACAAAGGAAAACAGCAAAAGAAGAAGAAGGGAAGAGAGGAACUCCAAAACAGAAAACAACAAAAUGGCAAUAGUAAGUCCUUACCUAUUGAUGAUUAAAUAUAAGUGGAUUAAGUUAUCUAAUCAAGAAACAUAGAGUGGCCAAAUGGAUUUUAAAAACCAAGAUCCAACUAUGCUGCAUAUAGGAGACUCACUUUCAGUUUAAAGACACGCAUAGGUCUCAAGUGAGAAAUAAUUUGGCAAAUAAAAAUUAAAAAAUAAAAAAAAGACACACAUAAGCUGGAAGUGACGGAAUGGAAAAUAAUAUCCCAUGCAUAUGGUAAUCUAAAGAAAGUUGGGGUGGCUACUUAGACAAAAUAGACUUUAAGUCAAGAACUGUGACAAGAGACAAAGAGGGCCAUUAUACAAUGACAAGGGGGUCAUGUCAUCAAGAGGAUAUAACAAUUGUAAAUAUAUAUGUACCCAAAACUGGAGUACCUAAAUAUAUAAAGGAAAUAUUAACAGAACUGGAGGGAGGAGAAAUAGAUAGCAAUACAAUAGUGGUAGGGGACUUCAAUACCCACCUUCCACAAUGACAGAAAAUCAAUAAGGGAACAGAGGAAUUAAACAAUGUUGUAGACCGAGUGGCUCUAACAGACAAAUAUAGAACAUUCUAUCCAAAAGCAGCAGAUUACAUAUUCUCCAAAUAAAGAUCAAAUGUUAGGACUUAAAACGUCUUAAGAUAGCAAUCAUAUCAAGUAUCUUUUCUGACCACAAUGGUAUAAAACUGGAAAUCAAUGACAGGAGAAAAAUGGAAAACUCACAAAUAUGUGGAAAUUAUGCAACACAUUUCUGAACAACCAAUGGGAAAAAGAAGAAAUCAAAAAGGAAAUUUUAAAAAUAUCUUGAGAAAAAUAAAAUGGAAACACAACAUACUAAAACUUAUGGGAUGCAGCAAAACCAGUUUUUAAUAUAGCAAUAAAUGCCUAUGUCAAGAAAAAUGAAAGAUCUCAAAUAACCUAACUUUAAACAUCAAGGAAGAAGAAGAAAUCUCAAACUUAGCCGAAUAAACAAAGUAAUAAAGAUAAGAACAAAAUACAUGAAAUACAGAUUAGAAAGACAAUAUAAAAGAUUAACAAAAUGAAGACUUUGCUUUUUGAAAAGACAAACAAAAUCGGCAAAUUUAGCUAGAUAACCAAGAAAUAAAGAGAGGAUUGAAAUCAAAUUAUGAAUGAAAGAGAAGGCAUUACAACUGAUACCAUCCAACCACAAAGGGUCAUAAAAGAUUACUAUGAACAAUUAUAUACCAACAAAUUGGGUAACCUUUUCUAGAAAUAUACGACCUACCAAGACUGACUCAUAAAGAAAUAGAAAAUCUAAACACACCAGUAAAGAGUAAGGAGAUUGAAUUGUUAAUUAAAAAUUACCCAACAAAGAAGAGAACAGGACCGAUGGUAUCACUGGUGGAUUCCACCAAAUAUUAAUGAGCAAUUAAUGCCAAUUCUUUUCAAACUUCCAAAAAAUUAAAGAGGAGGAAACACUUCCAAACCUGUUCAAUGAGGCCAGCGUUACCCCAACACCAAAGCCAGAUAUGGAUACUAUAAGGAAAAGAAAUUACAGGCCAAUAUCCCUGAUGAAAAUAGAUAUAAAAAUUCUCAACCAAAUACUAGCAAACAAAAUACUAGCAAAAUUCAACAAUACAUUAAAAGGAGCAUACACCAUGAUCAAAUGGAAUUUAUUCCAGGCAUGUAAGGGUGGCAUGAUAUACGAAAUCAAUAAGUAUGAUACACCACUUUAACAAAAUGGAGGAUAAAAAUCGUGUGAUCAUUUCAGUAGGUGCAAAAAAGCAUCUGACAAAAUUCAACAUUCUUUCAUUGUAAAAACUUUAAAAAUUGGGUAUAGAAGCAAUAUACCUAAACAUGAUAAAGACCACAUAUAACAGGCCCACAGCUAACAUCAUACUCAAUGUUGAAAAGCUGAAAAUUUUUCUCUAAGAUUAGGGGCAAGUCAGGAUGCCCACUCUUGCUCCUUCUAUUCAACAUAGUACUGAAAGUCCUAGCCAUUGCAAGAGGCAAGAAAAAGAAAUAAAAGGCAACCAAAUCAAAUAGGGAAAAGUUAAAUUGCCUCUGAUUGCAGAUGACAUGAUCUUAUCUAUAUAAAACCCUAAUGGCUCCACCAAAGAAAACUAUAGAAAUAAGAACUUUAGUAAAGCUACAGGGUACAAAAUCAAUAAAAAUCAGUUGCAUGUCUACGCAAUAUCUGAAAAUAAAAACUAUGUCAUUUACAAUAACAUCAAAAACAACAAAAUCCUUAUGAAUAAAUUUAACCAAGGGGUGAAAGAUCUGUAUAUUGAAAACUACGUGAUGUUGAUGAUAGAAAUUGAAGAAGACACCAAUAAAUGGAAAAACAUCCCAUGUUUUGGAAGAACCCCUAUCAAAAUUCCAAUGCCACUUUUCACAGAAAUAGAAAAAACAUCUUAAAACUCAUAUGGAACUAUAAAAGACCCCAAAUAGCCAAAGCAAUCUUGAGAGAGAAGAGCAAAGUUGGAGGCAUCAGACAUUCUGAUUUUAAGUUAUUUUACAAAGCUAUAGUAAUAAAAAUGGUAUGGUACUGGCAUAAAAUCAGAAAUGCUGACCAAUGCAACAGAAUAGAGACCAGAAAUGAACCCAUGCCUAUACAGUCAACUAAUAUUUUACAAGGGUAUCAAGAACAUACUAUUCAGAAAGAAUAAUCUCUUCAAUAAAUGAUGCUGGGAAAACUGGAUAUCUAUAUGCAAAAAGAAAUGAACUUGACCUCUAUCUUAUAUCACACAAAAAAAUUAACUUGAAAUGAAUUAAAGACUUAAAUAUCAAACCCAAACCAAAAACUUCUAGAAGAAAACAUAGGGAAAAUAUUCUCUGUCCUUGGUCUUAGCAAUGAUUUGUUUGGAUAUGACACCAAAAGCACAGACCACAAGAGAAAAAAAAGUUGAUCUACGUCAAAUCAAACAGCUUCUGUUUGAUAAAGGAAACAACUAAAUGAAAAUGUACCAUAGGGAAUGGGAGAAAAUAUUUGCAAACCAUGUAUCUGGUAAGAGGCUAAUAUCCAAAAUACAAAAGGAACUCAUACAAUAUAAUAGCAAACACAAACAAUCUGAUUUUAAAAUGGGAAAAAGACUUGAAGAUAUACAAAUGGCCAAUAGGUAUAUGAAAAGGUGCUCAGUAUUACUAAUUAUCAGGGAAAUGCAAAUCAAACCACAAUGAGAUAUUGCCUCAGACCUGAGUGGCCAUUAUAAAAAAUACAAGGGAUACAAAGGAUAACAGAUGUUUAUGAGGAUGCGGUGAAAUGGGAACCCUUGUACACUGUUGGUGGGAAUGUAAAUUAGUGCAGCCAUUAUAAAAAACAGUAUGAAGUUUCCUCAAAAAAUUAAAAAUCAACCUAUCAUUCGUUUGAUCCGGCAAUCCCAUCUCUGGAUAUAUACCUGAAGGAAAUAUAAUUAGUAUCUGGAAGAGACAUCUGCACCCGUAUGUUCAUUGUAGUAUUAACCACAAUAGCCAAGACAUGGAACCAAUCUAAGUAUCCACUGAUGGAUGAAUGGACAAAUAAAAUUUGUAUAUAUGUACACACACACACACACACACACACACUCUUACAUAGGAAAACUUUUCAACCUUGGUUCCCCCCAAAAAAGGGAAAUUCUGUCAUUUACAACAAUGUGGAUGGACCUGGAAGAUAUGCUAAGUGAAAUAAGCCAGACAUAUUAGAGACUUUUGGCCCAUUGUCACUUUGCAUUUGCCUAGUGUAUAACCGAGGACAGGCAGAACAUAUAUCCUACUAAUUUGCUUAUAGCAUAUUUGAUAGAGUUAAUUUCAGCACAUAGAACAAUCUUUUUGUAGAAAGUGGAUUCUCAGGGUGUUGUCAAGUCUCAGCAUAGUUUUCCCAGAGACCUCAUC